Long non-coding RNA from Camelina sativa (false flax), 1100 nucleotides. RefSeq lists it as uncharacterized. Lineage: Eukaryota; Viridiplantae; Streptophyta; Magnoliopsida; Brassicales; Brassicaceae. The record is from RefSeq and is a predicted model, not a curated record.
UUUCUUUCUCCUUCUAAUUUCACCUCUUCGUCUCCAUAUCUUCUCUCCCCUCUUUGUCUCUAAAUCUCCUUUCCUCUUCAGAUGAUCAGAUCUCCUCUUCUCAUCGUCUCCAGAUUUCCUCUCUCUCCUCUCUCGUUCUGUUUUUUUUCUUUUUUUCUUUUCCGUUUAUGGAUCUGACUGGAGAGUUAAGAAGAAGAAUGAGUCUCUCUGUUUGUCUCUCUUUAUCUCUUUUGAAACAGGUACCACAACCGCUGUUCCAGGUAAAACCACUGGUGUCGCUUCCGCUUCUCUCCGAUUCAGAUUCUGGAUCUAAGACUGAUACUGAUUCCGAUGCCUUCUUACGGAGCCUCCACUCCUUCUUCUCUCACGAUUGGGACUACGUUUGGUUAUUGGUUUAAACUCCGCUUAGGCGAUGAGACUUUAGAAUGGUCUAAGCAGAUGUUCAAGGUCUUUCUCCGAUUUCAUUGCAAAGAAUUUGCGGGAAUAUGCAAAAGUUUCUUUAUCUUGUGAAGAGAGUUUUGGAACUGGUUCGGAUCAUAUCCGUGAGAAAGAUGGGAUUUGGGCAGUUCUUGCUUGGUUAUCCAUACUGGCUCACAAGAACAAGAAGCCUUGAAGGGGAUGCAAAACCCGUGACGGGGGAAGACAUCGUCCGCCAGCAUUGGGCUACUUAUGGCCGUCACUAUUACACUCGAUACGACUAUUAGAAUGUAGACGCAACUGCAGCUAAAGAACACAUGGGGCUCUUGGUUAAGUUACAAUCUUCACUUACUGAAGUUUGGAUUUAUGCUAUAGUAUGCAUCUGCAUAAAUAUUCAUGGCCUGAAUAUGUACUUUUGGUUAUCAUUCAUCCCUGCCAUUCUUGUCAUGUUAGUUGGAACCAAACUUGAGCAUGUUGUCUCGAAGCUUGCUCUCGAGGUUAAGGAACAACAGACAUGCACAACUAAUGGGGCUCAAGUCAAACCACCUGACAGACUCUUCUGGUUUGAAAAUCUUUUUUCAAUGUAUUUAUAUAUCUUCUAUUUGAAUGUAUGAUAUUAAAGUAAGGUUUAACAUUAAUUGUAAUUGUGUAUGUUUUGCAAUGUAACUUUUAACAUAUUUUCA